UUUUAUGGAGAGUUUGAUCCUGGCUCAGGACGAACGCUGGCGGCGUGCUUAACACAUGCAAGUCGAACGAUGAAGUUCCUUCGGGAAUGGAUUAGUG
This 97-nucleotide ribosomal RNA is filed under the name Actinomycetota bacterium. Its description in RNAcentral is "Actinobacteria bacterium partial 16S ribosomal RNA". It matches the Rfam family "Bacterial small subunit ribosomal RNA", at positions 1 to 97 of the family's 1533-position model. Lineage: Bacteria; Bacillati; Actinomycetota. The record is from RNAcentral.